UGGGGAAUAUUGCACAAUGGGCGCAAGCCUGAUGCAGCCAUGCCGCGUGUAUGAAGAAGGCCUUCGGGUUGUAAAGUACUUUCAGCGGGGAGGAAGGGAGUAAAGUUAAUACCUUUGCUCAUUGACGUUACCCGCAGAAGAAGCACCGGCUAACUCCGUGCCAGCAGCCGCGGUAAUACGGAGGGUGCAAGCGUUAAUCGGAAUUACUGGGCGUAAAGCGCACGCAGGCGGUUUGUUAAGUCAGAUGUGAAAUCCUCGGGCUCAACCUGGGAACUGCAUCUGAUACAGGCAAGCUUGAGUAUCGUAGGGGGGGGUAGAAGUCCAGGUGUAGCGGUGAAAUGCGUAGAGAUCUGGCGGAAUAACGGUGGCGAAGGCGGCCCCCUGGACGAAGACUGACGCUCAGGUGCGAAAGCGUGGGGGGCAAACAGG
RNAcentral lists this ribosomal RNA (429 nucleotides) under Chloroflexota bacterium. Its description in RNAcentral is "Chloroflexi bacterium partial 16S ribosomal RNA". It matches the Rfam family "Bacterial small subunit ribosomal RNA", at positions 355 to 776 of the family's 1533-position model. Lineage: Bacteria; Bacillati; Chloroflexota. The record is from RNAcentral.